Molecule: long non-coding RNA, 586 nt
Filed under: Equus asinus (donkey)
Lineage: Eukaryota; Metazoa; Chordata; Mammalia; Perissodactyla; Equidae
Description: lncRNA (ENSEASG00005035189.1)
Source: RNAcentral
AACACCAGGUGGUGAGAUUGGUGGGAGCCAUCUUGGAGCUGACUUAUGGCUACCACAAGCAUCAUCUUUAUUUUACAGACAUACAAGAAUGGCUAAAAUUGCAAGAAAAGAAACCUGUCAAUACCAAACGUGGCAAUGCUUGGAGCAGCUGGAACUCUCCUACACUGAAGGUUGAAUAAACGUGAUACCAGGUGGAAGCUCAGAUCUACACGAGGAAUGAAGAAUGCCGGAAAUCAUAAAUAUAUGAGCCACUCAAGGCCUUGAAAUUUAUGUGACUCUCCCAAAGUAUGACCCAGAGCCUAGAUGCUGAACUGCCAGAACCCAUGGACAUUUAGGACUCGAGUAAAGCACAGGACAAUAAGAGCAACCAAGUACGGCCUCGUCCAAGUACAGCUUUGCAGAUUAGCCCUGAGCUAACAUCUGCUGCCAAUCCUCUUCUCUGAAGAAGACUGGCCCUGAGGUAACAUCUGUGCCCAUCUUCCUCUACUUUAUAUGUGGGACGCCUACAGCAUGGCUUGCCGAGCAGUGCCAUGUCCGCACUCGGGAUCUGGGCCUGCGAACCCUGGGCCGCCAAAGCAGAACGUGC